This is a long non-coding RNA of Cyprinus carpio carpio, 919 nucleotides long. Lineage: Eukaryota; Metazoa; Chordata; Actinopteri; Cypriniformes; Cyprinidae. The record is from Ensembl.
AUGUUUUUAUGGACUCCUAUAACAAAAGGCCUAAAAUUGGAUCCUAAGGAUGUAUCGCCAUUUGAAGGUCACUUUGGAGUGAAAACAAUCAUGGCCAUCAUACUGAAGGGUCAUUCCAAACCAAAGUGCUCAAAACUGGCCACUUCAAAUGGCCCUUCAGAAUGGUGCGGUGGAACCUGGAGACAGGAGGUUAAAUGUGGAAAGUGGGUCUUCUGGCCGUGGGCAGCCAUCCACAGUCCUGGCGCCACAACUGGCCUCACCUGUCUGCUCCGUUUGAGUUCUGACAGCCGAGGAACACUGAAACUGGGAACGGGGAGUUCAUUCAUUCAUCCCAGCUGCAGACAACAUCCUAUUCAUUUGGUUACCAAGCCGAGUGUCCCCUGACGGGUGUUGUUUGUAAACCACACCGCCGGCGAACAGGACUCGUGGCUUUCUGAAUUCGGCGUCUGCUGGGCUCGUUAGUGGAGGGGGAUGAAGGGAGUGGGCGGGGUUUCCUGCAGGAAGGAAGUCAGCUCUGCGGAGGGCCUUAUUGCCCCCUGGGGAAGAACGCGAGCGCACACCCUAAACCAGCCCACUCCACCUCGCUUGGGCUCCUUUACCUCAAUGUCACCUGACACUUCCCAGAAUUUUCCUCUCACUGGGGUUUCAGGCAUCACAGAGCCGGUGUGGAGGUGGAAAUGAAGAGCGGACGGUACAUACUGACACAGUGCCAACCUACAGAUGAAAUAAUAAUAAGGUUUUUUCAGACACAGAGUCAAGGCCUGGCUCUGUGUGAGUGUGUAUGUGGCAGGUGAAUCGAGAACAUUUGCCAGCCCUAAUACAGUUUUUUUUUUUUACUAACUGUGAAAGUGCAUUUGACAUUAUUUAUUUAACAUUUAUAUUUUACAUAAAUAUACUGACCAAUUGCACUGCAUUAUCC